CCUACGGGUGGCUGCAGUGGGGGAUAUUGCACAAUGGGGGGAACCCUGAUGCAGCGACGCCGCGUGGGUGAAGAAGCGCCUCGGCGCGUAAAGCCCUGUCAGCAGGGAAGAAAAUGACGGUACCUGAAGAAGAAGCCCCGGCUAACUACGUGCCAGCAGCGGCGGUAAUACGGAGGGGGCAAGCGUUAUACGGAUUUACGGGGUGUAAAGGGGGCGUAGACGGCGAUGCAAGCGAGGAGUGAAAGCCUGGGGCCCAACCCCGGGAGUGCUCUUCGAACUGGGUGGCUGGAGUGCAGGAGGGGCAGGCGGAAUUCCUGGUGUAGCGGUGAAAUGCGUAGAUAUCAGGAGGAACCCCGGUGGCGAAGGCGGCCUGCCGGACUGCAACUGACGUUGAGGCCCGAAAGCGUGGGGAGCAAACAGGAUUAGAUACCCCAGUAGUC
Molecule: ribosomal RNA, 440 nt
Filed under: uncultured bacterium
Lineage: Bacteria
Description: partial 16S ribosomal RNA
Rfam family: Bacterial small subunit ribosomal RNA
Source: RNAcentral